Molecule: ribosomal RNA, 406 nt
Filed under: uncultured bacterium
Lineage: Bacteria
Also listed under: 1 other name
Description: bacterial SSU rRNA
Rfam family: Bacterial small subunit ribosomal RNA
Source: RNAcentral
UGGGGAAUAUUGCGCAAUGGGGGAAACCCUGACGCAGCAACGCCGCGUGAAGGAUGAAGGUUUUCGGAUUGUAAACUUCUUUGACGAGGGACGAAGAAAUGACGGUACCUCGAAAACAAGCCACGGCUAACUACGUGCCAGCAGCCGCGGUAAUACGUAGGUGGCGAGCGUUGUCCGGAUUUACUGGGUGUAAAGGGCGAGUAGGCGGGACAGCAAGUCAGUAGUGAAAUGCGGAGGCUUAACCUCCGAGCUGCUAUUGAAACUGUUGUUCUUGAGUGAUGGAGAGGCAGGCGGAAUUCCCGGUGUAGCGGUGAAAUGCGUAGAGAUCGGGAGGAACACCAGUGGCGAAGGCGGCCUGCUGGACAUUAACUGACGCUGAGGAGCGAAAGCGUGGGGAGCAAACAGG